Molecule: long non-coding RNA, 667 nt
Organism: Microcebus murinus (gray mouse lemur)
Lineage: Eukaryota; Metazoa; Chordata; Mammalia; Primates; Cheirogaleidae
Source: RefSeq, a predicted model, not a curated record
GAUCCGGGUAGCAACUGAGGAUGUGCCUCAGGUAAGGAAGCCACUUACUUCUGAAAGGAACAGAAAUGAGUUCUCCUUCUACAGUUGUGAUCUUGAGCUGGGUGAGCUGAGAAGGCACUUUUCACCCGCCACGCCAACUCUUCAGAAGUUUGGAUGAAGCCAAAGAAAUAAUACGGACUGGGAUUCUGUGACCUAGGAAAUUUCUGUUUCUGUCUGACACUGACGUUUGUUCUAUGAGACUUCCGGGCAGUAGCUAAAUCUACAAACAGACCCAUGAACCACCAAAUGGACUCUCAACCAUAUUAAGUCGUAAGGCCAUUAACUAUGCAAGAUGCUCUCCCUCAGCCUUUGCUUCCCGCCUCCUCGCUUGCCUCUUCUGCCUUCUAGAACAUUUUCUACCAUCUCCACUUGUUCCUCACACCUCCCUCCCCUCACAGCUUCCCCGCACACCCACACCCUGCAGCCUCCGCCCCAGCUGGCUGCCUGCCACCUCCAAGGCUCUGUGGGCCACCAGCCUUCCAGCUACCUCCCGACUGCUGCCUCCGCCAUCACCCACAAGAAAACAGCUCUCAAAAUACCCAAAAGAAGAGCUGCUGGCUGUUAGAGUUUGUCUUGAAUGUUACUGCUUCUGAAAAAUCAAAAUAAACAACUUUUGAAAGCCCAUUAA